UUAAGCGACUAAGCGUACACGGUGGAUGCCCUGGCAGUCAGAGGCGAUGAAGGACGUGCUAAUCUGCGAAAAGCGUCGGUAAGGUGAUAUGAACCGUUAUAACCGGCGAUGUCCGAAUGGGGAAACCCAGUGCAAUUCGUUGCACUAUCGUUAACUGAAUACAUAGGUUAACGAGGCGAACCGGGGGAACUGAAACAUCUAAGUACCCCGAGGAAAAGAAAUCAACCGAGAUUCCCCCAGUAGCGGCGAGCGAACGGGGAGCAGCCCAGAGUCUGAAUCAGCUUGUGUGUUAGUGGAACGGUCUGGAAAGUCCGACGGUACAGGGUGAUAGUCCCGUACACCAAAAUGCACAGGCUGUGAACUCGAAGAGUAGGGCGGGACACGUGGUAUCCUGUCUGAAUAUGGGGGGACCAUCCUCCAAGGCUAAAUACUCCUGACUGACCGAUAGUGAACCAGUACCGUGAGGGAAAGGCGAAAAGAACCCCGGCGAGGGGAGUGAAAAAGAACCUGAAACCGUGUACGUACAAGCAGUGGGAGCACCUUCGGGUGUGACUGCGUACCUUUUGUAUAAUGGGUCAGCGACUUAUAUUCUGUAGCAAGGUUAACCGUAUAGGGGAGCCGCAGGGAAACCGAGUCUUAACUGGGCGUUAAGUUGCAGGGUAUAGACCCGAAACCCGGUGAUCUAGCCAUGGGCAGGUUGAAGGUUGGGUAACACUAACUGGAGGACCGAACCGACUAAUGUUGAAAAAUUAGCGGAUGACUUGUGGCUGGGGGUGAAAGGCCAAUCAAACCGGGAGAUAGCUGGUUCUCCCCGAAAGCUAUUUAGGUAGCGCCUCGUGAACUCAUCUUCGGGGGUAGAGCACUGUUUCGGCUAGGGGGUCAUCCCGACUUACCAACCCGAUGCAAACUACGAAUACCGAAGAAUGUUAUCACGGGAGACACACGGCGGGUGCUAACGUCCGUCGUGAAGAGGGAAACAACCCAGACCGCCAGCUAAGGUCCCAAAGUCAUGGUUAAGUGGGAAACGAUGUGGGAAGGCACAGACAGCCAGGAUGUUGGCUUAGAAGCAGCCAUCAUUUAAAGAAAGCGUAAUAGCUCACUGGUCGAGUCGGCCUGCGCGGAAGAUGUAACGGGGCUAAACCAUGCACCGAAGCUGCGGCAGCGACACUAUGUGUUGUUGGGUAGGGGAGCGUUCUGUAAGCCUGCGAAGGUGACCUGUGAGGGUUGCUGGAGGUAUCAGAAGUGCGAAUGCUGACAUAAGUAACGAUAAAGCGGGUGAAAAGCCCGCUCGCCGGAAGACCAAGGGUUCCUGUCCAACGUUAAUCGGGGCAGGGUGAGUCGACCCCUAAGGCGAGGCCGAAAGGCGUAGUCGAUGGGAAACAGGUUAAUAUUCCUGUACUUGGUGUUACUGCGAAGGGGGGACGGAGAAGGCUAUGUUAGCCGGGCGACGGUUGUCCCGGUUUAAGCAUGUAGGCUGGUUAUCCAGGCAAAUCCGGAUAAUCAAGGCUGAGGUGUGAUGACGAGGUACUACGGUGCUGAAGUAACAAAUGCCCUGCUUCCAGGAAAAGCCUCUAAGCAUCAGGUAACAUCAAAUCGUACCCCAAACCGACACAGGUGGUCAGGUAGAGAAUACCAAGGCGCUUGAGAGAACUCGGGUGAAGGAACUAGGCAAAAUGGUGCCGUAACUUCGGGAGAAGGCACGCUGGUGUGUAGGUGAAGUCCCUGCGGAUGGAGCUGAGACCAGUCGAAGAUACCAGCUGGCUGCAACUGUUUAUUAAAAACACAGCACUGUGCAAACACGAAAGUGGACGUAUACGGUGUGACGCCUGCCCGGUGCCGGAAGGUUAAUUGAUGGGGUUAUCCGUAAGGAGAAGCUCUUGAUCGAAGCCCCGGUAAACGGCGGCCGUAACUAUAACGGUCCUAAGGUAGCGAAAUUCCUUGUCGGGUAAGUUCCGACCUGCACGAAUGGCGUAAUGAUGGCCAGGCUGUCUCCACCCGAGACUCAGUGAAAUUGAACUCGCUGUGAAGAUGCAGUGUACCCGCGGCAAGACGGAAAGACCCCGUGAACCUUUACUAUAGCUUGACACUGAACAUUGAGCCUUGAUGUGUAGGAUAGGUGGGAGGCUUUGAAGCGUGGACGCCAGUCUGCGUGGAGCCAACCUUGAAAUACCACCCUUUAAUGUUUGAUGUUCUAACGUUGGCCCCUGACCGGGGUUGCGGACAGUGUCUGGUGGGUAGUUUGACUGGGGCGGUCUCCUCCCAAAGCGUAACGGAGGAGCACGAAGGUUAGCUAAUCCUGGUCGGACAUCAGGAGGUUAGUGCAAUGGCAUAAGCUAGCUUGACUGCGAGCGUGACGGCGCGAGCAGGUGCGAAAGCAGGUCAUAGUGAUCCGGUGGUUCUGAAUGGAAGGGCCAUCGCUCAACGGAUAAAAGGUACUCCGGGGAUAACAGGCUGAUACCGCCCAAGAGUUCAUAUCGACGGCGGUGUUUGGCACCUCGAUGUCGGCUCAUCACAUCCUGGGGCUGAAGUAGGUCCCAAGGGUAUGGCUGUUCGCCAUUUAAAGUGGUACGCGAGCUGGGUUUAGAACGUCGUGAGACAGUUCGGUCCCUAUCUGCCGUGGGCGCUGGAGAAUUGAGGGGGGCUGCUCCUAGUACGAGAGGACCGGAGUGGACGCAUCACUGGUGUUCGGGUUGUCAUGCCAAUGGCACUGCCCGGUAGCUAAAUGCGGAAGAGAUAAGUGCUGAAAGCAUCUAAGCACGAAACUUGCCCCGAGAUGAGUUCUCCCUGAGACUUUAAGUCUCCUGAAGGAACGUUGAAGACGACGACGUUGAUAGGCCGGGUGUGUAAGCGCAGCGAUGCGUUGAGCUAACCGGUACUAAUGAACCGUGAGGCUUAACCUU
RNAcentral lists this ribosomal RNA (2900 nucleotides) under Klebsiella pneumoniae. RNAcentral describes it as "23S ribosomal RNA". It matches the Rfam family "Bacterial large subunit ribosomal RNA". The record is from RNAcentral. Lineage: Bacteria; Pseudomonadati; Pseudomonadota; Gammaproteobacteria; Enterobacterales; Enterobacteriaceae.